Molecule: ribosomal RNA, 448 nt
Filed under: uncultured Isosphaeraceae bacterium
Lineage: Bacteria; Pseudomonadati; Planctomycetota; Planctomycetia; Isosphaerales; Isosphaeraceae
Description: bacterial SSU rRNA
Rfam family: Bacterial small subunit ribosomal RNA
Source: RNAcentral
CCUACGGGCGGCUGCAGUCGAGAAUCUUCGGCAAUGGGCGCAAGCCUGACCGAGCGACGCCGCGUGGAGGACGAAGGCCUUCGGGUUGUAAACUCCUGUCGAGGGGGAAGAAGCCGCAAGGUUGACUGAUCCCUGGAGGAAGCACGGGCUAAGUUCGUGCCAGCAGCCGCGGUAAGACGAACCGUGCGAACGUUAUUCGGAAUCACUGGGCUUAAAGCGCGUGUAGGCGGGACGGCACGUCGGCCGUUGAAAUCCCCCGGCUCAACCGGGGAAGCGGCGCCGAUACGACCGUCCUGGAGGGGCGUAGGGGGACCUGGAACUUCCGGUGGAGCGGUGAAAUGCGUUGAGAUCGGAAGGAACGCCCGUGGCGAAAGCGAGGUCCUGGACGCCUACUGACGCUGAGACGCGAAAGCCAGGGGAGCGAACGGGAUUAGAUACCCUAGUAGUC